Molecule: long non-coding RNA, 482 nt
Organism: Drosophila innubila
Lineage: Eukaryota; Metazoa; Arthropoda; Insecta; Diptera; Drosophilidae
Exons: 2
Source: RefSeq, a predicted model, not a curated record
UUGCAAUACGGCUUUUGUACUUUUUCAUACAUUUAAUUUUGAGCACGCUGAACAGAACACAGUUUUGUGACAGGUCGGCGAUUCUAACUACUGAGCCACGGAAAAAUAAACCUACAAUAGACAAAACAUAAACAUAAUAUUGAGUUUUAUUUCACAUAAUAAAACAAAAAUCUGACGAAUUCACUGUAUACUUUUCCAAUCAAUGACGUCACGUUCUGCCUAAUGUCACAGGCAGAAAAGCAGCUCUUUAACUGGCCAAACUUAAUCUCAACUGAAUUUGGCCAUGUCGACUGUCGGCUUUAACAUUGUCAAUACGAGUAUAUUGUUGGUCCUUUGUGCGCUUUUAAUAAAUUACAUUUCUUGUUGGGAUUUGAUUAACAAAAAGCACCCACAGCGCUUUGUGGUAAGCGGAAAUUGCAACAGGUGGAUGCCACAAAGCAAAAAUAAAAGGUUAAUUUUGAUAAAAUCGCCAUGAUAUUAAA